ACACUUUAGAUUUCAGUAACUACCAAUUGCUAAAAGUAUUCAAUAUGAUAUGCGAGACUUCAGAUUCUAGUCUUCUUGCUUCUUCUUCUUCUUCUACUUACUAAUACUAAGCUUUGCUUUUUGUGUCAAAGUUCAUGGAAGUUACUGUCCCUCCUCUCGAAUCAGAUUCGUGGGCUCACUUAGAAAAUACCUAGGAAGCUCAUAUCUAGCACCUGCAUUGAGUAAGUAUAAGCCAGUAAGUAACUUAAACAAUAAACGAGAGAAACGAAUUAGAUCAUAAGUAGAUUAUGUUUGAUUGUCAGCCUCCUCGAAUCUUUUGAA
Arabidopsis thaliana (thale cress) is the source of this 321-nucleotide long non-coding RNA. RefSeq annotates it as other RNA. NCBI's taxonomy places the organism in Eukaryota, Viridiplantae, Streptophyta, Magnoliopsida, Brassicales, Brassicaceae. The record is from RefSeq. The transcript has a single exon.